GGGCCCGCACAAGCGGCGGAGCAUGUGGAUUAAUUCGAUGCAACGCGAAGAACCUUACCUGGGCUUGACAUGCAUCAGACUGCCCCAGAGAUGGGGUUUCCCUUGUGGUUGGUGUACAGGUGGUGCAUGGCUGUCGUCAGCUCGUGUCGUGAGAUGUUGGGUUAAGUCCCGCAACGAGCGCAACCCUCGUUCCAUGUUGCCAGCGUGUUAGGGCGGGGACUCAUGGGAGACUGCCGGGGUCAACUCGGAGGAAGGUGGGGAUGACGUCAAGUCAUCAUGCCCCUUAUGUCCAGGGCUUCACACAUGCUACAAUGGCUCAUACAGAGGGUUGCGAGAUCGUGAGGUGGAGCGAAUCCCUUAAAGUGAGUCUCAGUUCGGAUCGGGGUCUGCAACUCGACCCCGUGAAGUCGGAGUCGCUAGUAAUCGCAGAUCAGCAGUGCUGCGGUGAAUACGUUCCCGGGCCUU
RNAcentral lists this ribosomal RNA (465 nucleotides) under uncultured bacterium. RNAcentral describes it as "bacterial SSU rRNA". It matches the Rfam family "Bacterial small subunit ribosomal RNA", at positions 917 to 1382 of the family's 1533-position model. The record is from RNAcentral.